RNAcentral lists this ribosomal RNA (661 nucleotides) under Enterococcus faecalis. RNAcentral's name for it is "bacterial SSU rRNA". It matches the Rfam family "Bacterial small subunit ribosomal RNA", at positions 68 to 698 of the family's 1533-position model. Lineage: Bacteria; Bacillati; Bacillota; Bacilli; Lactobacillales; Enterococcaceae. The record is from RNAcentral.
GCUUCUUUCCUCCCGAGUGCUUGCACGUCAAUUGGAAAGAGGUAGUGGCGGACGGGUGAGUAACACGUGGGUAACCUACCCAUCAGAGGGGGAUAACACUUGGAAACAGGUGCUAAUACCGCAGAACAGUUUAUGCCGCAUGGCAUAAGAGUGAAAGGCGCUUUCGGGUGUCGCUGAUGGAUGGACCCGCGGUGCAUUAUAUAGUUGGUGAGGUAACGGCUCACCAAGGCCACGAUGCAUAGCCGACCUGAGAGGGUGAUCGGCCACACUGGGACUGAGACACGGCCCAGACUCCUACGGGAGGCAGCAGUAGGGAAUCUUCGGCAAUGGACGAAAGUCUGACCGAGCAACGCCGCGUGAGUGAAGAAGGUUUUCGGAUCGUAAAACUCUGUUGUUAGAGAAGAACAAGGACGUUAGUAACUGAACGUCCCCUGACGGUAUCUAACCAGAAAGCCACGGCUAACUACGUGCCAGCAGCCGCGGUAAUACGUAGGUGGCAAGCGUUGUCCGGAUUUAUUGGGCGUAAAGCGAGCGCAGGCGGUUUCUUAAGUCUGAUGUGAAAGCCCCCGGCUCAACCGGGGAGGGUCAUUGGAAACUGGGAGACUUGAGUGCAGAAGAGGAGAGUGGAAUUCCAUGUGUAGCGGUGAAAUGCGUAGAUAUA